Small nucleolar RNA from Cucurbita maxima (winter squash), 86 nucleotides. RefSeq annotates it as small nucleolar RNA snoR109. NCBI's taxonomy places the organism in Eukaryota, Viridiplantae, Streptophyta, Magnoliopsida, Cucurbitales, Cucurbitaceae. The transcript has a single exon. The record is from RefSeq and is a predicted model, not a curated record.
UGGCUGUAGCUAAAUCAAAUGCGUGAAGUUAACUGGCCGGUUGUUGUUCUCUGUCAACGAAUCUGCUUACCGAACUUCCUACAUUU